CAGCAGUCGCGAAAACUUCGCAAUGGGGGAAACCCCGACGAGGGAAUUCCAAGUGCUAGCACUUUGUGUUAGCUGUUCUUCUGUCUAAAAAACAGGAGAAGUAAGGGGCGGGUAAGACGGGUGCCAGCCGCCGCGGUAAUACCCGCGCCCCGAGUGGUGGUCGAUAUUAUUGAGCCUAAAACGUUCGUAGCCGGUCUUCUAAAUCCUUGGGUAAAUCGGGCAGCUUAACUGUCCGAAUUCCGGGGAGACUGGGAGACUUGGGACCGGGAGAGGUCAGAGGUACUUCUGGGGUAGGGGUAAAAUCCUGUAAUCCUGGAAGGACCACCGGUGGCGAAGGCGUCUGACUAGAACGGAUCCGACGGUGAGGAACGAAGCCCUGGGGCGCAAACGGGAUUAGAUACCCCGGUAGUCCAGGGUGUAAACGCUGCGGGCUUGGUGUUGGGGGUCCUUAGGGGGCGCCCAGUGCCGGAGAGAAGUUGUU
RNAcentral lists this ribosomal RNA (481 nucleotides) under uncultured Methanomassiliicoccales archaeon. RNAcentral describes it as "bacterial SSU rRNA". It matches the Rfam family "Archaeal small subunit ribosomal RNA", at positions 333 to 816 of the family's 1478-position model. Lineage: Archaea; Methanobacteriati; Thermoplasmatota; Thermoplasmata; Methanomassiliicoccales. The record is from RNAcentral.